CUAUCAUGUCAUUUUCUAUUUUUAUGAUUUUCUGAUGUAUUUAAAUGAGUGUUUAUGGUUGCAAAGUCCAUUUAAAAUUUGAAUUGAGAUGAUGAUGAUUAUGGAGUGGCUUGACAUUUGUUUUGUGUAAAAAACCCAUAUAAUGUAAAAAAUUUGAUCACAAUCCAAAUUCAGAGCUGUAUCACGCUUAAAUGUUUUGUCCAUACCUGCCCC
Molecule: long non-coding RNA, 213 nt
Filed under: Mytilus galloprovincialis (Mediterranean mussel)
Lineage: Eukaryota; Metazoa; Mollusca; Bivalvia; Mytilida; Mytilidae
Source: RNAcentral